AUACGGAGGGUCCAAGCGUUAUCCGGAAUCAUUGGGUUUAAAGGGUCCGCAGGCGGUCAAUUAAGUCAGAGGUGAAAGCCCAUCGCUCAACGAUGGAACUGCCUUUGAUACUGGUUGACUUGAGUUAUACGGAAGUAGAUAGAAUAAGUAGUGUAGCGGUGAAAUGCAUAGAUAUUACUUAGAAUACCGAUUGCGAAGGCAGUCUCCUACGUAUAUACUGACGCUGAGGGACGAAAGCGUGGGGAGCGAACAGGAUUAGAAACCCCAGUAGUCC
This 274-nucleotide ribosomal RNA is filed under the name uncultured bacterium. Its description in RNAcentral is "partial 16S ribosomal RNA". It matches the Rfam family "Bacterial small subunit ribosomal RNA", at positions 523 to 796 of the family's 1533-position model. The record is from RNAcentral.